RNAcentral lists this ribosomal RNA (886 nucleotides) under Cordyceps cicadae. RNAcentral describes it as "partial large subunit ribosomal RNA". It matches the Rfam family "Eukaryotic large subunit ribosomal RNA", at positions 54 to 975 of the family's 3401-position model. The record is from RNAcentral. Lineage: Eukaryota; Fungi; Ascomycota; Sordariomycetes; Hypocreales; Cordycipitaceae.
UCGAGAUGAGCAACAGGGAUUGCCCCAGUAACGGCGAGUGAAGCGGCAACAGCUCAAAUUUGAAAUCUGGCCCUCGGGUCCGAGUUGUAAUUUGCAGAGGAUGCUUCGGGCGAGGUGCCUUCCGAGUUCCCUGGAACGGGACGCCAUAGAGGGUGAGAGCCCCGUCUGGUCGGACACCGAGCCCGUGUGAAGCUCCUUCGAAGAGUCGAGUAGUUUGGGAAUGCUGCUCAAAAUGGGAGGUAUAUGUCUUCUAAAGCUAAAUAUUGGCCAGAGACCGAUAGCGCACAAGUAGAGUGAUCGAAAGAUGAAAAGCACUUUGAAAAGAGGGUUAAAAAGUACGUGAAAUUGUUGAAAGGGAAGCGCCCAUGACCAGACUUGGGCCCGGUGAAUCAUCCGGCGUUCUCGCCGGUGCACUUUGCCGGGCACAGGCCAGCAUCAGUCUGGCGCGGGGGAUAAAGGCUUCGGGAAUGUGGCUCCCUCGGGAGUGUUAUAGCCCGUUGCGCAAUACCCUGCGCCGGACUGAGGUACGCGCAUCGCAAGGAUGCUGGCGUAAUGGUCAUCAGCGACCCGUCUUGAAACACGGACCAAGGAGUCGUCUUCGUAUGCGAGUGUUCGGGUGUCAAACCCCUACGCGGAAUGAAAGUGAACGCAGGUGAGAGCUUCGGCGCAUCAUCGACCGAUCCUGAUGUUCUCGGAUGGAUUUGAGUAAGAGCAUACGGGGCCGGACCCGAAAGAAGGUGAACUAUGCCUGUAUAGGGUGAAGCCAGAGGAAACUCUGGUGGAAGCUCGCAGCGGUUCUGACGUGCGAAUCGAUCGUCAAAUAUGGGCAUGGGGGCGAAAGACUAAUCGAACCUUCUAUAGCUGGGUUCCCAGAAUUUUCCUCCCC